AGAGUUUGAUCUGGCUCAGAACGAACGUUGGCGGCGUGGAUUAGGCAUGCAAGUCGGGGGAAUCCCAGCAAUGGGGGAACCGGCGUAAGGGGCAGUAAGGCAUGGGUACCUACCCUAGGGUUCGGGAUAGCCAUCAGAGAUGGUGGGUAAUACCGGAUGAUGUCGUGAGACCAAAGAUUUAUCGCCCUUGGAGGGGCCCAUGUGAUAUUAGCUUGUUGGUGAGGUAAUGGCUCACCAAGGCAAAGAUGUCUAGCGGGUGUGAGAGCACGACCCGCGCCACUCGCACUGAGACACUGGCGAGACACCUACGGGUGGCUGCAGUCGAGGAUCUUCGGCAAUGAGCGCAAGCUUGACCGAGCGACGCCGCGUGUGCGAUGAAGGCCUUCGGGUUGUAAAGCACUGUCGAGGGGGAGAAAGGGGAAACCUUGAUCUAUCCCUGGAGGAAG
This 446-nucleotide ribosomal RNA is filed under the name uncultured bacterium. Its description in RNAcentral is "bacterial SSU rRNA". It matches the Rfam family "Bacterial small subunit ribosomal RNA", at positions 8 to 490 of the family's 1533-position model. The record is from RNAcentral.